Non-coding RNA from Nannospalax galili (Upper Galilee mountains blind mole rat), 189 nucleotides. The record is from Ensembl. NCBI's taxonomy places the organism in Eukaryota, Metazoa, Chordata, Mammalia, Rodentia, Spalacidae.
GCCGUUUAAAAGAAGGUUUGCCCUGUGUGGUUGGAUCUGCCUGAGGUGGGUUCAGCCUUGUACCAGACAGCCUGACCUUGACCCAAAGUAAAUUCCUAGGUGGAAGUUUCCCUGGGUUUAGAAUUUGCAGUAAUAGAUGUGAACAUACUAGCAGCACUUUGAUGAUCAUGUAGGACACUGCAAACAGGA